CUCAUUGUAAGAAAGCCCAAGAGUAAGCUAUGUGAGGUUGACGGCGAUGCUUAAAAAAGCAAUCGACUUACAAAGGUGUGAAAAAGGGGCUCGAUAUUAAAUCGAGAAAAGAAAUGAUUUUUUAUAAGUUAAAAAAUGGUUUCGAAUGCAUGAUGCAAUUAAAAGAAAAAAACAAAUCUAUAUUAUUAAACAAUAAUAAAUAAAUAAAAAGAAAUAUGAAUAAUAAAGCAUAAAUAUAAAAGAAAGAAAAACUACACCUAGG
This 262-nucleotide long non-coding RNA is filed under the name Lathyrus oleraceus (garden pea). RNAcentral describes it as "Pisum sativum (pea) long non-coding RNA (PSAT_LNC026727)". The record is from RNAcentral. Lineage: Eukaryota; Viridiplantae; Streptophyta; Magnoliopsida; Fabales; Fabaceae.